ACUUAGCGAUAGCUGGUUACUCAAGAAAAGAAUCUAAGUUCAGCCUAAGAUUAACCAAAUAACACAAAAUAUAAGCUUAAUCUCAGAGUAAUUCAAAUAAGGUACAGCCUAUUUGAAAAAGGAUACAACCUCAACCACCGGGUAAACCCAAACCACCCUCAAUAAAGUGGGCCUAAAAGCAGCCAUCUUUCAAAAAGCGUCAAAGCUUAAUCGAGCUACCAACUAAUUCCUACACCAUCUAAAAACCCUUACACAAUACUGAGUAAUUCUAUGUCCUCAUAGAAGAUUUCAUGUUAAAACUAGUAACAAGAAGAAAAACUUCUCCUAAAUGCAAGUGUAAAUCAGACAGGACACACCACUGACAAUUAACACUCGUGAGCAAAAAGUAGUAACUUAACAAGAGAACCCUACUGCACCAGAUGUUGACCUAACACCAGAGCAUUACAAGAAAGAUUUAAAGAAAAAGAAGGAACUCGGCAAACAUUAACCUCGCCUGUUUACCAAAAACAUCGCCUCUUGAAAAACAUAAGAGGUCCAGCCUGCCCAGUGACCCUGUUCAACGGCCGCGGUAUCCUAACCGUGCGAAGGUAGCGUAAUCACUUGUUCUUUAAAUAAGGACUAGUAUGAACGGCACCACGAAGGUUAUACUGUCUCCUCUUUCUAAUCAGUGAAACUAAUCUCCCCGUGAAGAAGCGAGGAUAAGUAUAUAAGACGAGAAGACCCUAUGGAGCUUUAAACCACGCAACACCUGCUCUAACCUAAUCACUUCCAGAAAACCCCCAUUUACCCAUGCAGGAUGAUUGCCAGUUUUAGGUUGGGGUGACCGCGGAGCACAAGAUAACCUCCACGUUGAAAGGAGCCCCACUCCUUAGCCAAGAGCCACACCUCCCCGCAUCAACAAAAUGACAUUAAUUGACCCAAUAUAUUGACCAACGAACCAAGUUACCCUAGGGAUAACAGCGCAAUCCACUUUAAGAGCCCCUAUCGACAAGUGGGUUUACGACCUCGAUGUUGGAUCAGGGUAUCCCGGUGGUGCAGCCGCUACCAAAGUGUUCGUUUGUUCAACGAUUAAAACCCUACGUGAUCUGAGUUCAGACCGGAGCAAUCCAGGUCAGUUUCUAUCUAUAAAGAGCUUUCUCUAGUACGAAAGGACCGAAAAAGCAUGGCCUCUAUAACAUAUAAGCCCUAACUAACAACUUAUGCCCCAAACUCAAUAAAAACUUAGCCU
Molecule: ribosomal RNA, 1228 nt
Filed under: Nymphargus siren (Rio Coca cochran frog)
Lineage: Eukaryota; Metazoa; Chordata; Amphibia; Anura; Centrolenidae
Description: partial large subunit ribosomal RNA
Rfam family: Bacterial large subunit ribosomal RNA
Source: RNAcentral